AGAGUUUGAUCCUGGCUCAGGACGAACGCUGGCGGCGUGCUUAACACAUGCAAGUCGAACGGAAAGGCCCUUCGGGGUACUCGAGUGGCGAACGGGUGAGUAACACGUGGGUGAUCUGCCCUGCACUUUGGGAUAAGCCUGGGAAACUGGGUCUAAUACCGAAUAUGACCACGCUCUUCAUGGGGUGUGGUGGAAAGCUUUUGCGGUGUGGGAUGGGCCCGCGGCCUAUCAGCUUGUUGGUGGGGUAAUGGCCUACCAAGGCGACGACGGGUAGCCGGCCUGAGAGGGUGACCGGCCACACUGGGACUGAGAUACGGCCCAGACUCCUACGGGAGGCAGCAGUGGGGAAUAUUGCACAAUGGGCGCAAGCCUGAUGCAGCGACGCCGCGUGAGGGAUGACGGCCUUCGGGUUGUAAACCUCUUUCACCAGGGACGAAGCGCAAGUGACGGUACCUGGAGAAGAAGCACCGGCCAACUACGUGCCAGCAGCCGCGGUAGUACGUAGGGUGCGAGCGUUGUCCGGAAUUACUGGGCGUAAAGAGCUCGUAGGUGGUUUGUCGCGUUGUUCGUGAAAACUCACAGCUUAACUGUGGGCGUGCGGGCGAUACGGGCAGACUAGAGUACUGCAGGGGAGACUGGAAUUCCUGGUGUAGCGGUGGAAUGCGCAGAUAUCAGGAGGAACACCGGUGGCGAAGGCGGGUCUCUGGGCAGUAACUGACGCUGAGGAGCGAAAGCGUGGGGAGCGAACAGGAUUAGAUACCCUGGUAGUCCAA
RNAcentral lists this ribosomal RNA (773 nucleotides) under uncultured bacterium. RNAcentral's name for it is "bacterial SSU rRNA". It matches the Rfam family "Bacterial small subunit ribosomal RNA", at positions 8 to 798 of the family's 1533-position model. The record is from RNAcentral.